This 506-nucleotide long non-coding RNA is filed under the name Lupinus angustifolius (narrow-leaved blue lupine). RNAcentral's name for it is "long non-coding RNA (LANG_LNC002092)". Lineage: Eukaryota; Viridiplantae; Streptophyta; Magnoliopsida; Fabales; Fabaceae. The record is from RNAcentral.
CGAGAUAGAGCAUCAGAAACCAUGUUCUCUCUUCCAGGUUUGUAAAAAAUCUCAUAGUUAAAUCCUUGUAAUUUUGUAGCCCAUUUUUGUUGUUCAUUAGUUUAAAAAACUUGUGUUAACAUGUGCUUCAAGCUUUGUUGAUCUGUAAAUAUGCGAAAAUAUCUGCCAAUUAGAUACUGACGCCAUUUCAUUACUGAUUCUGUAACAGCAUAGAGUUCUCGGACAUAUGCGGAGGCAGCUUGCAUCCUGGUUGAUAACUUCUUGCUAAAGAAAGCUAUUGGGUGUCCAUUUUGUGACAAUAUUGCCCCAAUUGCCAAGGCAGAAGUAUCAGUCUCAACAUCGAAAAUAACAUUAAAGUCUGGAAGCAUUAACACUGGGGUUUUUGUCAUUAUUGCUUUCAUUUGUGUAAAGGCUUCAAGUGCCAUUGUUGACCAUGUACACUUUGUAUGCUUUAAUAAAUCUGUGAGUGGAGCGGCGUGAGCAGUGUAGUUUCUAAUGAAACGACG